GAUGAACGCUGGCGGCGUGCCUAAUACAUGCAAGUCGAGCGAACAGACGAGGAGCUUGCUCCUUUGACGUAAUCGGCUGACGGGUGAGUAACACAUGCAUAACCUACCUAUAAUCCUGGGAUAACUUCGGGAAACCGGCGCUAAUACCUGCCGAUAUAUUUAACCGCAUGGUUCAAUCGUUAAAGACGGUUUUGCUGUCACUUAUAGAUGUAUCCGCGCCGCAUUAGCUAGUUGGUAAGGUAACGGCUUACAAAGGAAACGAUGCGUAGCCGACCUGAGAGAGGGACCGGCCACCCUGGAAUUGAGACACGGUCCAGACCCCUACGGGAGGAGGCAGUAGGGAACCUUCGGCAAAGGGCGAAAGCCGGACGGAGCAACGCCGCGUGAGUGAUGCAGGUCUUCGGAUCGUAAAACUCUGUUAUUAGGGAAGAACAAAUGUGUAAGUAACUAUGCACGUAUUGACGGUACCUAAUCAGAAAGCCACGGCUAACUACGUG
RNAcentral lists this ribosomal RNA (497 nucleotides) under uncultured bacterium. RNAcentral's name for it is "partial 16S ribosomal RNA". It matches the Rfam family "Bacterial small subunit ribosomal RNA", at positions 28 to 507 of the family's 1533-position model. The record is from RNAcentral.